RNAcentral lists this ribosomal RNA (253 nucleotides) under uncultured bacterium. RNAcentral's name for it is "partial 16S ribosomal RNA". It matches the Rfam family "Bacterial small subunit ribosomal RNA", at positions 524 to 776 of the family's 1533-position model. The record is from RNAcentral.
UACAGAGGGUGCAAGCGUUGCUCGGAUUUACUGGGCGUAAAGCGUGCGCAGACGGCCACGCAGGUCGGGUGUGAAAGCCCCGGGCUCAACCCGGGAACUGCACUCGAAACCAUGUGGCUCGAGUAUGAGAGAGGAAAGCGGAAUUCCCGGUGUAGAGGUGAAAUUCGUAGAUAUCGGGAGGAACACCAGCGGCGAAGGCGGCUUUCUGGCUCAUUACUGACGUUCAGGCACGAAAGCGUGGGUAGCAAACAGG